GUAGGGACCAAGCGUUGUUCGGAUUUACUGGGCGUAAAGGGCGCGUAGGCGGCGCUGUAAGUCACUUGUGAAAUCUCCGGGCUUAACUCGGAACGGCCAAGUGAUACUGCAGUGCUAGAGUGCAGAAGGGGCAAUCGGAAUUCUUGGUGUAGCGGUGAAAUGCGUAGAUAUCAAGAGGAACACCUGAGGUGAAGACGGGUUGCUGGGCUGACACUGACGUUGAGGCGCGAAAGCCAGGGGAGCAAACGGGAUUAGAUACCCCGGUAGUCCUGGCCCUAAACGAUGAAUACUUGGUGUCUGGAGACUUAAUGCUCCGGGUGCCGUCGCUAACGUUUUUAGUAUUCCGCCUGGGGAGUACGCUCGCAAGAGUG
This 371-nucleotide ribosomal RNA is filed under the name uncultured bacterium. RNAcentral's name for it is "bacterial SSU rRNA". It matches the Rfam family "Bacterial small subunit ribosomal RNA", at positions 527 to 896 of the family's 1533-position model. The record is from RNAcentral.